This 205-nucleotide ribosomal RNA is filed under the name uncultured bacterium. RNAcentral's name for it is "partial 16S ribosomal RNA". It matches the Rfam family "Bacterial small subunit ribosomal RNA", at positions 524 to 727 of the family's 1533-position model. The record is from RNAcentral.
UACGAAGGGGGCUAGCGUUGCUCGGAAUCACUGGGCGUAAAGGGCGCGUAGGCGGCGUUUUAAGUCGGGGGUGAAAGCCUGUGGCUCAACCACAGAAUGGCCCUUCGAUACUGGGACGCUUGGAGUAUGUAGAGGUUGGUGGAACUGCGAGUGUAGAGGUGAAAUUCGUAGAUAUUCGCAAGAACACCGGUGGCGAAGGCGGCCA